UUUGAACCUGAUGCCAUGGAAUUGGGGAACAAACGCCACCCAGUUAGGUUUUGAAGGUCACUAACGCGAUUGUUGAUGAAAACAGUGUUGUCAGGGCGCGUGUGUAAAUAAACCGCAGUAGCUUAAAUGCCCGAUAACAUUAAAACACUAUUUGCCGCAUCAUUACACGUCUGAUUAGAUACGAUCAUCAUAACCGAUACCUAUCAAUAUCGUAAGAGUAUAUUACAUCAAUUACUUAAUGACAUAUCAAUAGAUAGUUAAGGCUUUAAUGGGCUUUAGUCUCUGAUGCAAUUGUAAUAAUGACGCUAAGCCGCUGCGCAGUUAUGCAAUAAUUUAUUUGUUAUCACUUAUCAGGAAAGUUCUGCCGAGCACUUGCUUUGUUGUUGGCACACAUUGCCACGUGUGCCUAUAUAUAUUUGUCAUGACGCCAAUUUAUGGAGCUGGCGCCGAAUAAUUAAGCCCAGUUAGUGUUUACGUUCGGCGUAAUUCGCGCGAGUUUUUGACGCAGAGCUUUAAUAUUUAUUUUUGCAAUCGCGACUUAUUAGCGCUGUAAUUGUUGUUACGGAAUACUUAUUUGGUUACUCAAGAAGCGGUCGACUUCUAUAAAGAUGCCUGACCAGCCAAAUGUAGCGGUGGUGGGAGCAGGAGUGGUAGGCAUAACAGUGGCAAAAUUACUGCAAGACCAACUCAAAGAUGUGAAGAUAACCAUACUCGCCGAUAAAUUCACAGACGAUACCACAAGUCACAUUGCCGCAGGCAUCUAUAGACCCGGAACUAGUUUCAAAGGACCUACAAAAGAAAUCACGAAGAAGUGGCUGAAGGACUCGUGGGAGUUCUUCCAAGAUAUUCUUAAAACACCAGAUGCUGAACGAAUUGGUGUUAUGCCUAUAGGCACAUACAUAUUCUCAAGCGAAAAUUAUCACGUAACUAGAAAUCAUCUAAUUGAAGACAUUGUGCCGCUAUAUCGAGCGGUUACCGACGAGGAAUUAAAACUCGCUCCUAAAAGCACCAAAUUCGGAUCCUACUUUUCAACACUGAAAUUAGAAUGCGGAAAUUAUUUGCCGUGGACGGAGAAAAUAAUCGUCGAAAGAGGCGGGCAACUGUUGAACAAGAAGGUAGAAAGUUUUAAGUCAUUGUCUAAUUACGACCUCGUGUUUAAUUGUUCAGGGUUAGGUGCAAGAUAUUUAUGUAAUGAUCAUGAUCUAGUGCCCAUAAGAGGUCAAGUGAUAAAAGUUAAGGCGCCAUGGGUAAAACAUGCCAUGUAUGGCGACUAUGAUACGUACAUCAUUCCGGGGCUUAACGGGGUGGUUACAUUGGGUGGUGUGAGGGGAUAUGACAGUUACAAUUUGAAUUACUGCAAAUACGAUGCGGCGGCCAUAAUGGAGCGUUGUUGUGAAUUUCUCCCGAGCUUGAAAAACGCUGAAGUUCUCGCACAUAAGGUCGGAUUAAGGCCCCACAGACUGCCCGUUCGUGUUGAACCCGAGCUUAUUGAUGGUGUGAAGGUCGUGCACUGCUACGGACACGGCGGCUACGGAGUCAUGACUGCCCCUGGGACAGCAAUGAAUGCUGUCGAUUUAGGUAUCGAUUUCUUACGUAGUAAUGUAAGAAACAAAUUGUAAUCAGAUAAUAUACCCCCUGCGCGUAUUUAAGCUAUUAUUGAUGCAAUAAUAUAAUCUUUCUACACAACUCUGAAGUUUAAGAACACAAAACAAGAUAUGCUACGAUAAAA
RNAcentral lists this unclassified non-coding RNA (1729 nucleotides) under Helicoverpa zea (corn earworm). RNAcentral describes it as "d-aspartate oxidase, transcript variant X3". Lineage: Eukaryota; Metazoa; Arthropoda; Insecta; Lepidoptera; Noctuidae. The record is from RNAcentral.